This 253-nucleotide ribosomal RNA is filed under the name uncultured bacterium. RNAcentral's name for it is "partial 16S ribosomal RNA". It matches the Rfam family "Bacterial small subunit ribosomal RNA", at positions 524 to 776 of the family's 1533-position model. The record is from RNAcentral.
UACGGGGGGGGCAAGCGUUGUUCGGAAUUACUGGGCGUAAAGGGCUCGUAGGCGGCCAACUAAGUCGGACGUGAAAUCCCUCGGCUUAACCGGGGAAUGGCGUCCGAUACUGGAUGGCUUGAGUCCGGGAGAGGGAUGCGGAAUUCCAGGUGUAGCGGUGAAAUGCGUAGAUAUCUGGAGGAACACCGGUGGCGAAGGCGGCAUCCUGGACCGGCACUGACGCUGAGGAGUGAAAGCCAGGGGAGCAAACGGG